RNAcentral lists this ribosomal RNA (166 nucleotides) under Odontites corsicus. RNAcentral's name for it is "5.8S ribosomal RNA". It matches the Rfam family "5.8S ribosomal RNA". From Rfam's summary of the family: 5.8S ribosomal RNA (5.8S rRNA) is a component of the large subunit of the eukaryotic ribosome. It is transcribed by RNA polymerase I as part of the 45S precursor that also contains 18S and 28S rRNA. Functionally, it is thought that 5.8S rRNA may be involved in ribosome translocation. The record is from RNAcentral. Lineage: Eukaryota; Viridiplantae; Streptophyta; Magnoliopsida; Lamiales; Orobanchaceae.
AAAGUCUAAACGACUCUCGGCAACGGAUAUCUCGGCUCUCGCAUCGAUGAAGAACGUARCGAAAUGCGAUACUUGGUGUGAAUUGCAGAAUCCCGUGAACCAUCGAGUCUUUGAACGCAAGUUGCGCCCGAAACCACUYGGUUGAGGGCACGUCUGCCUGGGCGUC